RNAcentral lists this non-coding RNA (1136 nucleotides) under Rhodnius prolixus. Its description in RNAcentral is "Eukaryotic large subunit ribosomal RNA". It matches the Rfam family "Eukaryotic large subunit ribosomal RNA", at positions 1266 to 2178 of the family's 3401-position model. Lineage: Eukaryota; Metazoa; Arthropoda; Insecta; Hemiptera; Reduviidae. The record is from Rfam by way of RNAcentral.
AUCCGCUAAGGAGUGUGUAACAACUCACCUGCCGAAGCAACUAGCCCUGAAAAUGGAUGGCGCUGUAGCGUCGUGCCUAUACUCUGCCGUCAAUGACAAAGAUGAUUAAUAAGCUGUGUGUUAAUUAAUGUUGUAGUCUUGACUGCAGUAUUGUUAAUUACAAAGUUUAUUACUAUAUCAUCAUUAUGUCUUGAUGAGUAAGAGGGCCGCGGCGAUGAGCGCAGAAGGGUCUGGGCGAGAGCCCGCCUGGAGCCGUCGCUGGUGCAGAUCUUGGUGGUAGUAGCAAAUACUCCAGCGAGGCCCUGGAGGACUGAUGUGGAGAAGGGUUUCUUGUGAACAGCUGUUGCACAAGAGUCAGUCGAUCCUAAGCCCUAGGAGAAAUCCGAAGCGAUAUGCGCCCGUUAAAUAAUUUUUUUUUAUUAAAUGUUUGGGGCUAUCUGGGCGAAAGGGAAUCCGGUUCCUAUUCCGGAACCCGGCAGCGGAACCGUUCCAAAUCGGGCUCUCAUUUGAGAACUCGUCGGGGUAACCCGACAAGACCCGGAGACGCCGUAGGGAAAUUCGGAGAGAGUUGUCUCUUCUCUAUAAGCGUUCGAGUUCCCUGGAAACCUCUAGCAGGGAGAUAGGGUUUGGAACGCGAAGAGCACCGCAGUUACGGCGGUGUCCGGAUCUUCCCUACGGACCUUGAAAAUCCGGGAGAGGGCCACGAGGAACCCCGCGCCGGCUCGUACCCAUAUCCGCAGCAGGUCUCCAAGGUCAAUAGCCUCUAGUCGAUAGAAUAAUGUAGGUAAGGGAAGUCGGCAAAUCCGAUCCGUAACUUCGGGAUAAGGAUUGGCUCUGAGGACUGAGUCGUGCCGGGCUUGGUCGGGAAGUGGAGCGGUGUCAACGUGCCGGGCCUGGGCGAGGAGAAAAUUGCGUUUCUGCGCUUUUGGAUCCGAGCUCGGUCCCGUGCCUUGGCCACCCACGGAUCUUCCUUGCUGCGAGUCGUUAGCCGUGUGGUUACCGCUGGCUUUUGCUAGCUGGUCGACCUGGCUUACGAUCUCUUCGGCCGACAUUCAACAGUCAACUCAAAACUGGCACGGACAAAGGGAAUUCCGACUGUCUAAUUAAAACAAAGCAUUGGCGAUGGCCCCAACGGG